GUGCCAGCCGCCGCGGUAAUACCGGCAGCCCGAGUGAUGACCGAUCUUAUUGGGCCUAAAGCGUCCGUAGCUGGCCGGACAAGUCCGUUGGGAAAUCCACCCGCUUAACGGGUGGGCGUCCGGUAGAAACUGACCGGCUUGGAACCGGAAGGCUCAGAGAGUACGUCCGGGGUAGGAGUGAAAUCCCGCAAUCCCGGACGGACUACCGAUGGCGAAAGCACUUUGAGAAGACGGCUUCGACAGUGGGGGACGAAAGCUCGGGUCUCAAACCGGAUUAGAAACCCCUGUAGUCC
RNAcentral lists this ribosomal RNA (293 nucleotides) under uncultured bacterium. RNAcentral's name for it is "partial 16S ribosomal RNA". It matches the Rfam family "Archaeal small subunit ribosomal RNA", at positions 455 to 747 of the family's 1478-position model. The record is from RNAcentral.